CGUAGGGUGCGAGCGUUGUCCGGAAUUAUUGGGCGUAAAGAGCUCGUAGGCGGUGUGUCACGUCGGUCGUGAAAACUUGGGGCUUAACUCUGAGCUUGCGGUCGAUACGGGCAUCACUUGAGUUCGGCAGGGGAGACUGGAAUUCCUGGUGUAGCGGUGAAAUGCGCAGAUAUCAGGAGGAACACCGGUGGCGAAGGCGGGUCUCUGGGCCGAUACUGACGCUGAGGAGCGAAAGCGUGGGAGCGAACAGGAUU
RNAcentral lists this ribosomal RNA (254 nucleotides) under uncultured bacterium. Its description in RNAcentral is "partial 16S ribosomal RNA". It matches the Rfam family "Bacterial small subunit ribosomal RNA", at positions 526 to 779 of the family's 1533-position model. The record is from RNAcentral.